RNAcentral lists this unclassified non-coding RNA (157 nucleotides) under uncultured fungus. Its description in RNAcentral is "sequence contains ITS1". The record is from RNAcentral. Lineage: Eukaryota; Fungi.
UUAAAUCUUUAUUGGAUUCAGACACAAGACUUGAUUCUGCAUAGAGACGGCCCUCCCAUGAGAGAGGGCCGAAGCACGUCUCACUUCCACAGGUUUGCAAGGUUGAAGGCCUAGUGGCCAUUCAGUAAUGAUCCCUCCGCAGGUUCACCUACGGAGA